This 497-nucleotide ribosomal RNA is filed under the name uncultured bacterium. Its description in RNAcentral is "partial 16S ribosomal RNA". It matches the Rfam family "Bacterial small subunit ribosomal RNA", at positions 28 to 507 of the family's 1533-position model. The record is from RNAcentral.
GAUGAACGCUGGCGGCGUGCCUAAUACAUGCAAGUCGAGCGAACAGAUGAGGAGCUUGCUCCUCUGACGUUAGCGGCGGACGGGUGAGUAACACGUGUAUAACCUACCUAUAAGACUGGUAUAACUUCGGGAAACCGGAGCUAAUACCGUAUAAUAUAUUGAACCGUAUGGUUCAAUAGUGAAAGACGGUGUUGCUGUCACUUAUAGAUGGAUCCGCGCCGCAUUAGCUAGUUGGUAAGGUAACGGCUUACCAAGGCGACGAUGCGUAGCCGACGUGAGAGGGUGAUCGGCCACCUGAGAAGUGGACCACCGACAAGGCUCCUGCGGGAGGCAGCAGUAGGGAACCUUACGCAAUGGGCGAAAGUCUGGCGGAGCAACGCCACGUCAGAGAUAACAGUCUUCGGUUCGUAAUACUGUGUUAUUAGGGAAGAACAAAUGUGUAAGUAACUAUGCACGUAUUGACGGUACCUAGUAAGAAAGCCCCGGCUAACUACGUG